GAUGAACGCUGGCGGCGUGCCUAAUACAUGCAAGUCGAGCGAACGGACGAGAAGCUUGCUUCUCUGAUGUUAGCGGCGGACGGGUGAGUAGCACGUGGAUAACCUACCUAUAAGACUGGGAUAAAUUCGGGAAACCGGAGCUAAUACCGGAUAAUAUUUUGAACCGCAUGGUUCAAAAGUGAAAGACGGUCUUGCUGUCACUUAUAGAUGGAUCCGCGCUGCAUUAGCUAGUUGGUAAGGUAACGGCUUACCAAGGCAACGAUGCAUAGCCGACCUGAGAGGGUGAUCGGCCACACUGGAACUGAGACACGGUCCAGACUCCUACGGGAGGCAGCAGUAGGGAAUCUUCCGCAAUGGGCGGAAGCCUGACGGAGCAACGCCGCGUGAGUGAUGAAGGUCUUCGGAUCGUAAAACUCUGUUAUUAGGGAAGAACAUAUGUGUAAGUAACUGUGCACAUCUUGACGGUACCUAAUCAGAAAGCCACGGCUAACUACGUG
Molecule: ribosomal RNA, 497 nt
Filed under: uncultured bacterium
Lineage: Bacteria
Description: partial 16S ribosomal RNA
Rfam family: Bacterial small subunit ribosomal RNA
Source: RNAcentral